This 429-nucleotide ribosomal RNA is filed under the name uncultured Comamonadaceae bacterium. Its description in RNAcentral is "bacterial SSU rRNA". It matches the Rfam family "Bacterial small subunit ribosomal RNA", at positions 355 to 776 of the family's 1533-position model. The record is from RNAcentral. Lineage: Bacteria; Pseudomonadati; Pseudomonadota; Betaproteobacteria; Burkholderiales; Comamonadaceae.
UGGGGAAUUUUGGACAAUGGGCGCAAGCCUGAUCCAGCCAUUCCGCGUGCAGGAUGAAGGCCUUCGGGUUGUAAACUGCUUUUGUACGGAACGAAACGGUUCUCUCUAAUACAGGGGGCUAAUGACGGUACCGUAAGAAUAAGCACCGGCUAACUACGUGCCAGCAGCCGCGGUAAUACGUAGGGUGCAAGCGUUAAUCGGAAUUACUGGGCGUAAAGCGUGCGCAGGCGGUUUUGUAAGACAGAGGUGAAAUCCCCGGGCUCAACCUGGGAACUGCCUUUGUGACUGCAAGGCUGGAGUACGGCAGAGGGGGAUGGAAUUCCGCGUGUAGCAGUGAAAUGCGUAGAUAUGCGGAGGAACACCGAUGGCGAAGGCAAUCCCCUGGGCCUGUACUGACGCUCAUGCACGAAAGCGUGGGGAGCAAACAGG